This 489-nucleotide ribosomal RNA is filed under the name uncultured bacterium. RNAcentral describes it as "partial 16S ribosomal RNA". It matches the Rfam family "Bacterial small subunit ribosomal RNA", at positions 30 to 506 of the family's 1533-position model. The record is from RNAcentral.
AUUGAACGCUGGCGGCAGGCCUAACACAUGCAAGUCGAACGGUAACAGGGAUCAGCUUGCUGAUUCGCUGACGAGUGGCGGACGGGUGAGUAAUGUCUGGGAAACUGCCUGAUGGAGGGGGAUAACUACUGGAAACGGUAGCUAAUACCGCAUAACGUCGCAAGACCAAAGAGGGGGACCUUCGGGCCUCUUGCCAUCGGAUGUGCCCAGAUGGGAUUAGCUAGUAGGUGGGGUAACGGCUCACCUAGGCGACGAUCCCUAGCUGGUCUGAGAGGAUGACCCGCACACUGGGAAGUGGAACACGGUCCCGGCUCCUAGGGGGGGGCGAGGUGGGGAAUUUUGCAAAAGGGGGGAAAGCCUGAUGCACCCAUGCCGGGGGUAUGAAGAAGGCCUUGGGGUUGUAAAGUCCUUUCAGGGGGGGGAAAGGGAGUAAAUUUAAAACCUUUGCCCAUUGACGUUACCCCAAAAAAAAGCACCGGCUAACCCCGU